Molecule: ribosomal RNA, 567 nt
Filed under: uncultured bacterium
Lineage: Bacteria
Description: bacterial SSU rRNA
Rfam family: Bacterial small subunit ribosomal RNA
Source: RNAcentral
CCUACGGGAGGCAGCAGUGGGGAAUUUUCCGCAAUGGGCGAAAGCCUGACGGAGCAAUACCGCGUGAGGGAGGAAGGCUCUUGGGUUGUAAACCUCUUUUCUUAGGGAAGAAAAAAAUGACGGUACCUAAGGAAUCAGCAUCGGCUAACUCCGUGCCAGCAGCCGCGGUAAUACGGAGGAUGCAAGCGUUAUCCGGAAUGAUUGGGCGUAAAGCGUCCGCAGGUGGCAUUUCAAGUCUGCGGUCAAAGGUCGAGGCUCAACCUCGAACAGGCCGUGGAAACUGAAAAGCUAGAGUGUGGUAGGGGCAGAGGGAAUUCCCAGUGUAGCGGUGAAAUGCGUAGAGAUUGGGAAGAACACCGGUGGCGAAAGCGCUCUGCUAGGCCAAGACUGACACUGAGGGACGAAAGCUAGGGGAGCGAAUGGGAUUAGAUACCCCAGUAGUCCUAGCCGUAAACGAUGGAUACUAGGUGUAGCUUGUAUCGACCCAAGCUGUGCCGUAGCUAACGCGUUAAGUAUCCCGCCUGGGGAGUACGCGCGCAAGCGUGAAACUCAAAGGAAUUGACGGGG